GGAGAGGUGCCCGGAGCGGCUUAUCGGGGACCAGAGGAACACCUUCAGGUCGGGCCUAAAAACCCACGCAGGUUCGAAAUCCUGCCCUCUCCG
This 93-nucleotide transfer RNA is filed under the name Streptomyces sp. MJP52. RNAcentral's name for it is "tRNA-Ser". The record is from RNAcentral. Lineage: Bacteria; Bacillati; Actinomycetota; Actinomycetes; Kitasatosporales; Streptomycetaceae.